RNAcentral lists this non-coding RNA (23 nucleotides) under Cricetulus griseus (Chinese hamster). Lineage: Eukaryota; Metazoa; Chordata; Mammalia; Rodentia; Cricetidae. The record is from RNAcentral.
AAGAAUUUCAGAAAAGAGAAGAG